UUGUUGGGGUUGUAGGACACUCUAUACGGAGUUACAAAAGAACAUGUUAGACGAAUCAUCUGGAAAGAUGAAUCAAAGAAGGUAAUAAUCCUGUAGUCGAAAACAUAUUCUCUCUUGAGUGGAUCCUGAGUACGACGGAGCACGUGAAAUUCCGUCGGAAUCUGGGAGGACCAUCUCCUAAGGCUAAAUACUCUCUAGUGACCGAUAGUGAACCAGUACCGUGAGGGAAAGGUGAAAAGUACCCCGGAAGGGGAGUGAAAGAGAACUUGAAACCGUGUGCUUACAAGUAGUCAGAGCCC
Molecule: ribosomal RNA, 299 nt
Filed under: Bacillus anthracis (anthrax bacterium)
Lineage: Bacteria; Bacillati; Bacillota; Bacilli; Caryophanales; Bacillaceae
Description: partial 23S ribosomal RNA
Rfam family: Bacterial large subunit ribosomal RNA
Source: RNAcentral